GCGGCCGCGGGAAUUCGAUUAGAGUUUGAUCCUGGCUCAGAACGAACGCUGGCGGCAGGCCUAACACAUGCAAGUCGAACGCUCGUAGCAAUACGGGAGUGGCAGACGGGUGAGUAACGCGUGGGAACGUACCUUUCGGUUCGGAAUAACCCGGGGAAACUCGGGCUAAUACCGGAUACGUCCGCAAGGAGAAAGAUUUAUCGCCGAAAGAUCGGCCCGCGUCGGAUUAGCUAGUUGGUGAGGUAAUGGCUCACCAAGGCGACGAUCCUUAGCUGGUUUGAGAGAACGACCAGCCACACUGGGACUGAGACACGGCCCAGACUCCUACGGGAGGCAGCAGUAGGGAAUCUUGCGCAAUGGGCGAAAGCCUGACGCAGCGACGCCGCGUGCGGGAUGAAGGCCUUCGGGUCGUAAACCGCUUUCAGCAGGGACGAAAUUGACGGUACCUGCAGAAGAAGGCCCGGCCAACUACGUGCCAGCAGCCGCGGUAAUACGAAUCACUAGUGAAUUCGCGGCCGCCUGCAGGUCGACCAUAUGGGAGAGCUCCCAA
This 550-nucleotide ribosomal RNA is filed under the name uncultured Alphaproteobacteria bacterium. RNAcentral's name for it is "partial 16S ribosomal RNA". It matches the Rfam family "Bacterial small subunit ribosomal RNA", at positions 1 to 599 of the family's 1533-position model. The record is from RNAcentral. Lineage: Bacteria; Pseudomonadati; Pseudomonadota; Alphaproteobacteria.